UGCCUGGGAGUGAUGCACCAGGUUGCCCCCCAGGACUGGGGCGGGGGAAGGAAGGAGAAAGAGGGGUCAGAGAAGAAGAGGGAAGGAGCCUUACAGUAGACAGUGAGGGUGCUGGGGGUCGACUGGCCCAUGCCCAGCCGGUUGAUGGCCUGGCACCGAUAGGCUCCUGAGUGCUGGACCUUCACGGGAUCCAAUCUCAGCAUCUGAUCGUAAUGCUGGAGGUUUUGGUUUUUCCAGUCAAACCAGCUAUACUGGAAGAUGGGAGGGUUGGCGUCACCCUCACAUGUCAGGACUGCCUUCUUCCCCUCCAUCACUUGGUCCUUUGGGCCGAUGGACACACGCAGCCUCCUCGGUGCAUCUAUAAGGAGAAGCGAAAUCAGGAUCCAGGUAGCCGGCCACCUGCUCUUCUGUCUGUCGCCAGCUCCAGCCACUCACACAGCACUUGGAGGAUCCUGGCCUCAGACAUGGUCUGUCCUACGGAGUUGUUGACCAAGCAGUUGUAAUUGCCAGCAUCUUCUGGAGAGAUGGCGUCAAAGGUCAGUUCUCUUCCCUCCUUCAGAAAGAUUCCAUUUUUCUUCCAGAAGAAGCGGACGUCUCUGGGGCGGCUACUUGAGAAGUUACAUCCAAGGAGGACUCGGUGCCCGGAAUGAAUGUCAGAAGGGGGGCUGAUCUGCUGGACCCUGACAUCUCUUGGGGCAUCUGGAGAGCAAGGGCCUCAAGGGUCAGGCUGACCUCUUGGGCCCCUUUCCCUCUUCUUGUCCCCAGGACUUCCUCUCCCCUGGGCCCCGAGGCCAGACGUUCAGCCCUCAGUUCUCUGUGAAGGUUCUGGCCCAGGCCCCAGUCCCCUCCCCCUUAGAGCCCAUACCCCAGCUGGCCCACCUCUCCGAUCCCCUUGCCCGCUCACUCACACAGGACAUCCAGGCUGACAGAGGGAGCCCACGAACACCACUGGUUGCAGGCUGCACAGGAGAUUGGUCUGGCGUCCCAGGAAACUUUCUCAAUUAUCAGCACCUCGCGUAAUGGUUUUUUCCAGGAGCCUUGGAAGUUCCAUUCGUAUCGGCUGGUGAGGGGAGGAUCUCAACCCUGGAAGAUUCCGGAGCAUCUGGAAAAAGCCCGCAGAGGCAGAGGAGGGAGCUCCCAGGAGGCUCACAAUAUACUUGAAGGUCCACUUCUUCCGACUGUCCUGAGCCUAUUUCAUUGGAGGCCUCACACUGGUACUUCCCACUCAUCUCCUUGGUCACAGUGGACAGAGUCAGCGUGCCUGGCACCCUUGGUGCCCUCGAGGGCCGGAAGAGAAGAGACAAGACCCUCGUCCUUCCCCGGGGGGCCCUGGGGGACACUCACGCUUCACAUCCAGCCCCACGCUUUCCUCGGAGAGUAUCCGCUCUGCUCGGGGGUCCCAGAGCUGGCAGGAAAGAUUCUUGCCGUGGUGAGUCCACUGCGGCUGGAAGGUGAGCUUGCUCUGUGUGGACACGGUCUUGGUGGUCAGGAGGGUGGAGGUGACAGCAGGCUCCUCCAGGGACCACUUCAGCUGGAUCUGGUACCCAGGACAGGAGAAAUUCAGCGAGCAGGUCAGAGUGACUUCCUGGGACUCCUGGAUUUCUGGAGGGAGCUGGAUGUGAGGUGAGAGAGGCGUCUCUGCAAAAGAGUAGGGGGCCGUGCUGGGGGUCUGGGAGAGCAAGGGCCCGUGUGCCAACCUCGCACACCUGCCUUUACAGCCCCAGGUAACCCCUCAGGAGCCCCUCGCCGGUCCCUUCCGCCUCUGCACCUCUCUCCUGGCCGCCUUUCUCUGCUUUGAAUCACUUUUGCUCGGCAGAAACACUCUCUCUUGUGAAUGCCGCCGCUCCUGAGGAAUCCCGUAUUGUAUUUCAUACGUAUCUCGUGCCCCCUCCCUGAUGUUUGCUCUCUAAACAUUUUUGACAUGGCUCCCCCAUCCCAAAUGAAUGUUACCAGUUUAGGUCCCCACGCCUUUCUUGGCUUUGCCGACAAGCCUGCGUUUGUAAUGGCCUCCACACUGGAGACCUCCAGAGUGGCGCUCCUUCAGUGGGUGCCGUUAGUGGGCCUGUGUGUCUCCAGCUCUCCCCGGGGCUGGGCCACCCUGAGGUGACAGGUCUGAAACCACAGCUCUCACCCCCAUGUAGCUGCUUAGACCCCCCCCCCCCCCCGCCACCUUCCCCACCACCACGGAAGACACAGGCUGUGGGGUGGAGGCCCCGGGCCCGUGCUUGAUUCAUCCCCUACAUGUGUCUCAUUUAGCCACGAAGGCCUAAUUAGAAUUAAUCACCAACAUUAAGGCAUUGGGAGAUUUUGCUUGAAAAUCCACAUUUCCAUCUUCUCGUCAAAAAUCAGGCCACCUGGAACCCAGAUUCCGGAAUGGGCGGGCAUUGAGUGGCAGGUGGGAGGCCCGAGGGGAGACCAGAGCUCUGGCCCCAACCCCAACCCCAGCCCCAUUAUCUUGUGCUGCCCGCUCACUCACUGGCACCUCCGGCCUGGCUUGCCACCCCGUCCCAGGGGCUGGGUGUUUUCCACCUCCCUUCUUGCCCGAAACCGAGGCAGAGAACCCCAUCCCCCAGGGCCUUACCAGAGACGUUGAGGUCUAUUUUCUCCAUCCAUUUGUCAUUCUUCGUUGUCACUCUCAGCCCAAGCCAGCCACUGUCAUUGACGGACACAGGGUGGAUGUGUAUGGUGCA
Molecule: long non-coding RNA, 2690 nt
Organism: Acinonyx jubatus (cheetah)
Lineage: Eukaryota; Metazoa; Chordata; Mammalia; Carnivora; Felidae
Exons: 4
Source: RefSeq, a predicted model, not a curated record